GAUGAACGCUGGUGGCGUGCCUAAUACAUGCCAGUCGAGCGAACAGACGAGGAGCUUGCUCCUCUGACGUUAGCGGCGGACGGGUGAGUAACACGUGGAUAACCUACCUAUAAGACUGGGAUAACUUCGGGAAACCGGAGCUAAUACCGGAUAAUAUAUUGAACCGCAUGGUUCAAUAGUGAAAGACGGUUUUGCUGUCACUUAUAGAUGGAUCCGCGCCGCAUUAGCUAGUUGGUAAGGUAACGGCUUACCAAGGCAACGAUGCGUAGCCGACCUGAGAGGGUGAUCGGCCACACUGGAACUGAGACACGGUCCAGACUCCUACGGGAGGCAGCAGUAGGGAAUCUUCCGCAAUGGGCGAAAGCCUGACGGAGCAACGCCGCGUGAAUGAUGAAGGUCUUCGGAUCGUAAAACUCUGUUAUUAGGGAAGAACAAAUGUGUAAGUAACUAUGCACGUCUUGACGGUACCUAAUCAGAAAGCCACGGCUAGCUACGUG
Molecule: ribosomal RNA, 497 nt
Filed under: uncultured bacterium
Lineage: Bacteria
Description: partial 16S ribosomal RNA
Rfam family: Bacterial small subunit ribosomal RNA
Source: RNAcentral